UACGUAGGGCGCAAGCGUUGUCCGGAAUUAUUGGGCGUAAAGAGCUCGUAGGCGGUUUGUCGCGUCUGCUGUGAAAACUCGAGGCUCAACCUCGGGCUUGCAGUGGGUACGGGCAGACUAGAGUGCGGUAGGGGUGACUGGAAUUCCUGGUGUAGCGGUGGAAUGCGCAGAUAUCAGGAGGAACACCGAUGGCGAAGGCAGGUCACUGGGCCGCAACUAACGCUGAGGAGCGAAAGCAUGGGGAGCGAACAGG
RNAcentral lists this ribosomal RNA (253 nucleotides) under uncultured bacterium. RNAcentral's name for it is "partial 16S ribosomal RNA". It matches the Rfam family "Bacterial small subunit ribosomal RNA", at positions 524 to 776 of the family's 1533-position model. The record is from RNAcentral.